RNAcentral lists this ribosomal RNA (497 nucleotides) under uncultured bacterium. RNAcentral's name for it is "partial 16S ribosomal RNA". It matches the Rfam family "Bacterial small subunit ribosomal RNA", at positions 28 to 507 of the family's 1533-position model. The record is from RNAcentral.
GAUGAACGCUGGCGGCGUGCCUAAUACAUGCAAGUCGAGCGAACAGAUGAGGAGCUUGCUCCUCUGACGUUAGCGGCGGACGGGUGAGUAACACGUGGAUAACCUACCUAUAAGACUGGGAUAACUUCGGGACACCGGAGCUAAUACCGGAUAAUCUCUUGAACCGCAUGGGUCAAUAGUGAAAGACGGUUUUGCUGUCACUUAUAGAUGGAUACGCGCCGCAUUAGCUAGUUGGUAAGGUAACGGCUUAUCAAGGCAACGAUGCGUAGCCGACCGGAGAGAGUGAUCGGCCACACUGGAAGUGAGACACGGUCCAGACUACUACGGGAGGCAGCAGUAGGGAAUCUUCCGCAGUGGGCGAAAGCCUGACGGAGCAACGCCGCGUGAGUGAUGAAGGUCUUCGGAUCGUAAAACUCUGUUAUUAGGGAAGAACAAAUGUGUAAGUAACUAUGCACGUCUUGACGGUACCUAAUCAGAAAGCCACGGCUAACUACGUG